This 14580-nucleotide long non-coding RNA is filed under the name Medicago truncatula (barrel medic). RNAcentral describes it as "long non-coding RNA (MTRU_LNC001042)". The record is from RNAcentral. Lineage: Eukaryota; Viridiplantae; Streptophyta; Magnoliopsida; Fabales; Fabaceae.
CCGAAUUAAAGAAUAAAAGUCAAUUAAUGACAAAAGAAUAACAAAGAAACAUGGAAGCGGAGAAAGAAGUUAAAUAAUAAUGGAAUGAAAAAGAAGUAUACAGGGUGAGAUUAAUGGUGUACGUAACCGUUCAAAUCACAAAUGUUGUAUUAUCCAAAAAACGGUGGUUACAAAAGGGAAACUUUCCACAAAUUCACAUAUAAUUAAACACCAAAAACAAAAAUCUAGACACAUCAAAAGAAGAAGAAAAUAACAAAAAACAUUUAAUUAGAUUUAGAAUCAAAACUAAAUUGAAUAAAUAAGUAAAAACUUCAACGUGAAAAAAAAUCAAUUAAAAAGAAAACCUGAAUAUUGAUGGUGGUUGAUUCAUGCAUGGUGUCCUCAUCAUGUUACAAAGUUGUUGUCAACUAAAUUUCGGAAGUAAAAAGAGACAAACAAAGGAGAGGAAGAGAUUUAGAGAGAGGGAGAAAAAUAAGACGGGGUUUAUUGUAACAUCUCGUUUUUCCAACAUAAAAAUUUCAUAAAAAUAAUCAGAGUAUUCACUUUAACGGAAUGUCAUAUUCUUUACUUAAAAUCAUAAACGGAAUAAUUAACUAAUUAUCCAUCAAAAUUCAAUAACAUAAUAUUUAAUACUUCACAGUGAAAUUUAUUCGAACAUCUAAAAAUAAUUUUGGCACGAAGGCCUCAUCAAAGUAUCUCAUAAAAAUCCAAUUAACAACUUAAUCAUGUAAAUUCAUAAGCAAUACGUAAGGAAUAGAAAAGCAUACAAUAAAGUUCUCAUCCCGUUACGUAUCAGAGCACCUAAAGACACACAUAAGAGAUAAUCCACUCACGACAGCAAUCUAACAGUAACUUAAACUCGAUCACCUGCAAGUUACUCAUACGAAGAGCAACAUUUCCAAGCAGAAGGGGUGACAUUUCACAAAACAAUAAUAUUAAGCAUAUAAUUCUAUUUAAAAACCUAAAAUCAUCAUAAUAUUCAUCAUAGACAAUAAUAUAUCAUAUAUCACAUCUUUAAUAGUUCAUAUAAAGAAUCACAGCUUCAACAACUUGGCAACUUAAACAUCUUUGACUCGACAAAUGCGACUCCUUGACUAUGCAACUUAGACCUCUUAUAUGCAUGUGGUACCAAUCCAGGGCAUCAAGCCCAACGUAUUUGAGCGUAAAUAGGCUCCCAGGGCAUCAAGCCCUCAACUUAUUUGAGCGUAAAAAGGCUCCUAGAGCAUCAAGCCCUCAACUUAAUUGAGCAAAGGCUCCAGGGCAUUAAGGCCCCAUCAAUGAAAUGCUAAUGCAUGGAUUCGACCUCUUAACAUCUUAAAUCGACAACCUUUUAUAUAAUCCAAUAAUUUGGAACUUUAUCAUCUUAAUCAACUUAGACCGACUCAUGCAGCUUAGUUAAAUAACAACAACACAACAGUAUACAAAAACAGCAUGACAUAAUAAUAUCAAAUGCAAGUCAACAACGUCUCAAUUAUUCACAUAUAAUUCAAGUAAUGCAUAUACAAUUAUAUCACAAUAUAACAACAUCAAAUAAUAAUCAACAUCUUAAAACAUCAUAUAUACAUAUAACACUUCACCAAUCAUGGACAAUAUCGUAUUCACAACAUAUACAUACAUAUACUAAUUCAUCAAUCAUAAACAACAUCAUACUCAUAAACAUAUACAUUCAUAUACUAGUUCAUCAAUCAUAUUCAAUUAUUCACUGUGACCUACGUGCAAUAAUUUGACUAUAACUCAAGUUCUAUAAAUCCUUUUGAAGUCAAAUCAACGGCAUUAGAAAGCUAACAUUCAUACCUACAACUUUCGUGUUUACACCUAAGACCAAUUCUGUACCAAUCAAUACCAGUUUUCAUUUCACAUUCGGACAAAGUUGUGCUGAAAUUCAUAAAAAUUCACUGUGACCUACGUGCAGUAAUUUGAUCAUAACUCAAGUUCUAUAAAUCGUUUUGACGUCAGACCAACGACAUUAGAAAGCUAACAUUCAUACCUACAACUUUUGUGUUUACACCUAAGACCAAUUCUUUACCAAUCAAUACCAGUUUUCAUUUCAAAUUCGGGGCAGAGAUAAAAAGAAAAAUAAAAAAAAACAACCUAUAUUAUUCAACUUCACUUUCAUUCAAAAUCAUCACAAUCAUCACUCUUAACCCUAAUUCUCAAAUUCUCAAAAACUAAACCUACAACAUGUUAAAUACAAUUUUCAGAAUCAUAGACUCAAGAUUAUUGAAUGUUAGUCCCACCCUUACCUUGGAAUAUAAAAAUCGCAGCUUCCUAGGUCUCUCUCCCUUCUCUUGGCUUUUUCUCCCUUUUCUCCAAAAUUGAUCGUACGUUCUGUUUUUUCUAAACUAGAUUUCUCCUAUUUAUAACAUUUUAUUCUAUUUUAUCUUAUUUCUCUUUCUCCCCAAAACUCUCUCAAAUCUCAUAACAACCCUUAAACUCAAUAUUAUUUUAUUUUCAAAUCUUAUUCUAUUAAAUAAUAUAAUAAGCCACUUAAUAAAUUACAUAAUCAUAUAAAUUUAUUAUAAACUCUUCUUAAUAAAUUAUAGACUCAAUUAAAUAAUUAAAUAAAAUAAAUAAUUCAAAGAGGGCGUUACAGUUAUCAUGUUGUCGCAAACCUCAGCAAUGUGACGCUCCUUCUUAUAUAGUUUGAAUUACGCACCGCUCUUUUCUGCUUCCACAGUGAAAUUUCUGUGACUGCAAUGCAGAUCUCAGCAUUUCCCCAGGAGGUUCCCUCCUUUCCUUUUUUUUGGUAGUUAAUUCUUUAGUUUGUGUUUGAUUGAGAGCAUUAUUUAACCAUUCUUCCUCCUGCACUUCUCCUCCCCUCUUUCUAUUGCACAUUUUUUUCUUUUAUAGAACAAACAAAUACUAUCUAUAUCUAUUCUUCUUUGAUUUGUGUGAUUUGAAAGCUUGAAAGGAAACUAAAUGAAGAAGUGACUGUAUGUGUUAGCCUACAAUCGAAAACUGAAACUUAAGUUAGAGCCAAGUUUGAAACCUUGAUUGUGUUGUUCCGAUAACAUAUUCUGACUCUUCUAUACAAAAGUUCGUCUUUGCAUAUGGAAAAAGAAAGAAACAGGUUAUGCGGUGGGUUUUAUUUUGUUGGGAUACAAAUGUGGUGGUUCUAUUACCAUCAAUGUUGUUCCAGAAAGAAAGAAAAAAACCAUCGAGAAGUAAUAUUGGCACAUUUGAGGGAAAAAAACCGCACAGCUUAAAUAGAAAAGAAAAGAAAAAAAGUAAUUAAAGAAAAUUGUAAAGGGUAGAAUUGGAAUGUAAAAUAGGCUAAAAAAAAAAAAGAAAAGUAUUGCCUUUAUUAAUAGCUACACUUCAUAGUCUAGAAUUGCACUCAAGAUCGUAAAAUCACUUAGGCAUCCCAACAUUUACAAAAUGUAGAUUUCUUUAAAAUCACCGAGGCAUCCCAACAUUUACAAAAUUUAAUGGAACAAAUAAUACCCAUAAACUCUUUUCGGAUCAUCGAGGCAUCAUAAUAAUUUCAAAAUUCAGGCUCAUAUAUCAUAUCUGAGCGACAAUUCUAGUCUAGAAUUGCAAUCAAGAUCGUAAAAUCACCAAGGCAUCCCAACAUUUACAAAAUUUAAUGGAACAAAUAAUACCCAUCAAUUCUUUUCGGGUCAUCGAGACAUCAUAAUAAUUUCAAAAUUCAGGCUCAUAUAUCAUAUCUGAGCGACAAUUCUAGUCUAAAAUUGCAAUCAAGAUCGUAAAAUCACCAAGGCAUCCCAACAUUUACAAAAUUUAAUGGGACAAAUUAUAUCCAUCAAUUCUUUUCGGGUCAUCGAGGCAUCAUAAUAAUUUCAAAACUCAGUCUCAUAUAUCAUAUCUGAGUGACAAUUCUAGUCUAGAAUUGCACUCAAGAUCGUAAAAUCACCGAGGCAUCCAAACAUUUACAAAAUUUAAUGGAACAAAUAAUAUCUGUCAAUUCUUUUCGGGUCAUCGAUCAAGGCAUCGUAAUAAUUUCAAAACUCAGGCUCAUAUAUCAUAUCCGAGUGACAAUUCUAGUCUAGAAUUGCACUCAAGAUUGUAAAAUCACCGAGGCAUCCCAACAUUUACAAAAUUUAAUGGAACGAAUAAAUAUCCGUCAAUUCUUUUCGGGUCAUCGAUCAAAGCAUCGUAAUAAUUUCAAAACUCAGGCUCAUAUACAUUAUUUUCUUCCUUUGAAAUGUAUCUCAAUUUCUUUUAUAUACGUAAACUUUGAGAUGCCUAUACCAUAUUUUGCAUAAACUUAACAAUUCUCAAUCAAAAUUAGGAAUCAGGAAAUAUGAAUAAUGAGAAUACCUCCAAAUUGCAAGAUUUUCAAAUUGUUGCAACAUAUAAGUAUAAAACGUUUUGAAUAUUAUCACUUAUGCCUUUGAAGAACUUUUGAAGAACCAAGAACUUCAUCAACUCCUUCGAUAGAGUCAUUCAAAUAUACCUCGACUCCAAAAGCUAAGAGUAUAAUUUAUCCCUCAAGACUAACAGUAGAUGGCUAGUCACUUAAACUAUAAAGUCCCUCAUCCUAUGGUGACCGACUUGUAGGCUCAAAAAGAACAGUCUUAGAAUUUUAUUGAGUCAUAAAAGUGCAACAGGGACCAUCCCUUACGUAAUGAAUAAAAAUCCACACCAAUAUCACAUUUAAGGCAUUAUCUAGCCUUCACAUUAUAAGUUAAGUGUGACUGAAGUUUCGAUACAUCCCAACACUUACAAAAUUAAGUCUCAUAUUUCAUCUCUCAUACACAAAAUUUCUACAUAUUCAUUCCUUUAGGGUUGUCAAGGCACCCUAAACAUUUCAAAAUUUAGGCUCAUAUAUGAAGGGUUUGUCUACAUUUGUAUAAAGCAGAAGAUUGAAAGUUCUUGUGAAAAUAGUUAGCCUAACAACAUGCACCAAAUAUUAUAAAACCAAAAGGAUUUGUGGAAAUUUCAUUACCUUGACUAACAAACAAAUUGUCUUUCAAAACAUCAGUACCAAAAGGGUCUCCAUACAAAAGCAAAGUUUGCUGAAUCAUUCUGGUACUACCAAUUCCACUAUUAAAAAAUUCAAGAAUUAAAACCUGAAAAGCAAGAGAGGUAUAAAUGUUACCAUUGAAGGUGAAACUGCAAAUUUUUAAAUUGCAUGUUUUAAAGAAGAUGAAAGGACCGAACAAUGUGUGUUUCAUCUUAUUUAAACACAUCAUAACCUCUGAAGAGGAAUGCAGAGAAGUAAGAGAAGUAAUGAGGCAUCCCAUAUAGCACGCAAUGACAAAUCACAGUCUAAAAGUGAACUCGAUGCCAUAAAAACACAACGAAUACUAGUAUUUUCGGAUUGACUUUUCCACAACUGGGUGCACGUCCCAAUGCCAUGUUUUCUGAGAAGCUACAAAAUGAAACUUCAGCACAGAUGUGUGUUUGGUGUGAUUCUACCAUGGAAACAGACAUGCAAUACAAAGCUUUAUAUUAUGAAUACAAAUUCAUAUCAAUAUCGCUCGCAUGUAAGACAUCAUCAAACUUUAAAUUAUGAUUGCAGUGUUCAUGAUGUUCCUUUUAGGGUCAAAUGAGGCAUCCCAUCUCAAAAUUCAUUGAACAAAUAAUAUUCAUAAUUCAUAUUCUUUUCGGGUCAUCGAGGCAUCCUAUAUUCCAUCUCAAUGUGGCAAUUUACAAUUUAGAAUUGCAUUCAGGGUUAUAAAAGCACACAAUGGAUCCAUCCAUUAUAUUACGAAUAAAAAUUCAUAACAAAAUCAAAUUUAAGGCAUCAUACAACUUUUACAUUGUGAGUGAAGUAUUCGUAAUGUUUCCUUUAGGGUCAUCGAGGCAUUCACACACCUGCAACAUUUAUAGAACAUAUAAUAUCCAUUGAUUCAUUUAGGAUCAUCAAGGCAUCUAACAUUUCAUCUCGUAGUGGCAAUCGAUAGUCUAGAAUUGCAUUCAGGGUUAUAAAAGUACGACGAAUCCAUCCCUUAUAUUAUGAAUAAAGAUUGAUAUUAGGGUCAUCGAUUUUUACAUUAUGAGUGAAGUGUUCAAAAUAUUUCCUUUAGGAUCAUUGAGGCAUCCAAACACUUGUAACAUUUAUGAAACAAAUCAUAAUCAUUAAUUCUUUUCGGGUCAUAGAGACAUUAUGAAUGAAUAAAAAUUCAUAACAAUUUCACAUUUAAGGCAUCAUCCAACCUUUAUAUUAUGGGUAAAGUGUUCAUAAUGUUUGCUUCAGGGUCAUUUAGGCAUCUUGUAACACUUCUGAGAUAAAUAAUAUCCAUCAAUUCCUUUCGGGUCAUCGAGGCAUCAUUUCAAAACCCAGGCUCAAAUAUCAUAUGGGUCAUCGAGGCAUGCAAACACUUGCAAUAUUUAUGGGACAAAUAAUAUCGAUCAAUUCCUUUCGGGUCAUUGAGACAUUAUAAUAAUUUCAAAACUCAGGCUCAUAUAUCAUAUUUGAGUGACAAUUCAUAGUCUAGAAUUGCACUCAAGAUCAUAUAUAAUCACUGAGACAUCUCAACAUUUAGAAAAUAGUUUCCUUUAAAAUCACCGAGGCAUCCCAACAUUUACAAAAUUUAAUGGGACAAAUUAUGUCCAUCAAUUCUUUUCGGGACAUCAAGGCAUCAUAAUAAUUUCAAAACUCAGGCUCAUAUAUUUGAGUGACAAUUCAUAGUCUAGAAUUGCACUCAAGAUCGUAAAAUCACUGAGGCAUCCCAACAUUUACAAAAUGUAGAUUUCUUUAAAAUCACCGAGGCAUCCCAACAUUUACAAAAUUUAAUGGGACAAAUAAUAUCCGUUAAUUAGGGUUGGGAAUAGGCCAGGCUGGCAUACAGGGGCCUACGGCCUAGCCUGUUUUGGCCUGGUCUGGCCUGACCUGUUUAGUAGAUAGGCUUAGGCUUAGGCUUUUUAAAAAGCUUGUUUAGUUAAAUAGGUCAGGCUUAGGCUUUCAGAAAAGCCUGUUAAGUCUAAUAGGCCGACCUAUUAAUACUUAUUUAUUAAAAAAUAUUUUUUAUAUUAAAAUAAUUGCAUAAAUUAAAAAUAUAAACAUCUUUUUCUCUAUCUAUUAGUCCCUAAAUAGGUUUUGUUGUUAUAGGCUUUUAAGUAGACUUUAAUCUAGUUAAAAUUUACUUGUAGUUAAAUAGGCUUUUAAGUAGGCUUUAAGGCAUGUUUAGCUUAUUUAGUAGGCCAAAUGAACUAUUUGAUGACCUUAAUAUAAAGUAGGCCUGUAAGUAGGCUUUCAGGCCAGUCCAGGCUUUUAAAUAGGUCAGGCCAGGCCAAGAAAAACGGCCUAUAAUAGGCCACAGGCCAGGCUCAGGCUUGUAAAUUUUUUCGUAGGCCAGGCUCAGGCCUAUCAAAGCCUGGCCUGGCCUAUUCCCACCCCUACCGUCAAUUCUUUUCGGGUCAUCGAUCAAGGCAUCGUAAUAAUUUCAAAACUCAGGCUCAUAUAUCAUAUCUGAGUGACAAUUUUAGUCUAGAAUUGCACUCAAGAUUGUAAAAUCACAGAUGCAUCCCAACAUUUACAAUAUUUAAUGGAAAAAAUAAUAUCCGUCAAUUCUUUUCGGGUCAUCGAUCAAGGCAUCGUAAUAAUUUCAAAACUCAGGCUCAUAUAUCAUAUCUGAGUGACAAUUUUAGUCUAGAAUUGCACUCAAGAUUGUAAAAUCACCGAGGCAUCCCAACAUUUACAAAAUUUAAUGGAACAAAUAAUUUCCGUCAAUUCUUUUCGGGUCAUCGAUCAAGGCAUCAUAAUAAUUUCAAAACUCAGGCUCAUAUAUCAUAUCUGAGUGACAAUUCUAGUCUAGAAUUGCACUCAAGAUCGUAAAAUCACCGACUCAUCCUAACAUUUACAAAAUUUAAUGGAACAAAUAAUAUCUGUCAAUUCUUUUCGGGUCAUCGAUCAAGACAUCGUAAUAAUUUCAAAACUCAGGCUCAUAUAUCAUAUCCGAGUGACAAUUCUAGUCUAGAAUUGCACUCAAGAUUGUAAAAUCACCGAGGCAUCCCAAAAUUUACAAAAUUUAAUGGAACGAAUAAUAUCUGUCAAUUCUUUUCGGGUCAUCGAUCAAGGCAUCGUAAUAAUUUCAAAACUCAGGCUUAUAUAUCAUAUCUGAGUGACAAUUUUAGUCUAGAAUUGCACUCAAGAUUGUAAAAUCACCGAGACAUCCCAACAUUUACAAAAUUUAAUGGAACAAAUAAUUUCCAUCAAUUCUUUUCGGGUAAUCGAUCAAGGCAUCGUAAUAAUUUCAAAACUCAGGCUCAUAUAUCAUAUCUGAGUGACAAUUUUAGUCUAGAAUUGCACUCAAGAUUGUAAAAUCACCGAGGCAUCCCAACAUUUACAAAAUUUAAUGGAACAAAUAAUUUCCGUUAAUUCUUUUCUGGUCAUCGAUCAAUACAUCCUAAUAAUUUCAAAACUCGGGCUCAUAUAUCAUAUCUGAGUGACAAUUCUAGUCUAGAAUUGCACUCAAGAUCGUAAAAUCACCGAGGCAUCCAAACAUUUACAAAAUUUAAUGGAACAAAUAAUAUCUGUCAAUUCUUUUCGGGUCAUCGACCAAGGCAUCCUAAUAAUUUCAAAACUCAGGCUCAUAUAUCAUAUCCGAGUGACAAUUCUGGUCUAGAAUUGCACUCAAGAUUGUAAAAUCACCGACGCAACCCAACAUUUACAAAAUUUAAUGGAACGAAUAAUAUCCGUCAAUUUUUUUCUUCCUUUGAAAUGUAUCUCAAUUUCUUUUAUAUACGUAAACUUUGAGAUGCCUAUUCCACAUUUUGCAUAAACUUAACAACUCUCAAUCAAAAUUAGGAAUCAGGAAAUAUGAAUAAUGAGAAUACCUCCAAAUUGCAAGAUUUUCAAAUUGUUGCAACAUAUAAGUAUAAAACGUUUUGAAUAUUAUCACUUAUGCCUUUGAAGAACUUUUGAAGAACCAAGAACUUCAUCAACUCCUUCGAUAGAGUCAUUCAAAUAUACCUCGACUCCAAAAGCUAAGAGUAUAAUUUAUCCCUCAAGACUAACAGUAGAUGGCUAGUCACUUAAACUAUAAAGUCCCUCAUCCUAUGGUGACCGACUUGUAGGCUCAAAAAGAACAGUCUUAGAAUUUUAUUGAGUCAUAAAAGUGCAACAGGUACCAUCCCUUACGUAAUGAAUAAAAAUCCACACCAAUAUCACAUUUAAGGCAUUAUCUAGCCUUCACAUUAUAAGUGAAGUUUCGAUACAUCCCAACACUUACACAAUUAAGUCUCAUAUUUCAUCUCUCAUACACAAAAUUUCUACAUAUUCAUUCCUUUAUGGUUGUCAAGGCACCCUAAACAUUUCAAAAUUUAGGCUCAUAUAUGAAGGGUUUGUCUACAUUUGUAUAAAGCAGAAGAUUGAAAGUUCUUGUGAAAAUAGUUAGCCUAACAACAUGCACCAAAUAUUAUAAAACCAAAAGGAUUUGUGGAAAUUUCAUUACCUUGACUAACAAACAAAUUGUCUUUCAAAACAUCAGUACCAAAAGGGUCUCCAUACAAAAGCAAAGUUUGCUGAAUCAUUCUGGUACUACCAAUUCCACUAUUAAAAAAUUCAAGAAUUAAAACCUGAAAAGCAAGAGAGGUAUAAAUUUUACCAUUGAAGGUGAAACUGCAAAUUUUUAAAUUGCAUGUUUUAAAGAAGAUGAAAGGACCGAACAAUGUGUGUUUCAUCUUAUUUAAACACAUCAUAACCUCUGAAGAGGAAUGUAGAGAAGUAAUGAGGCAUCCCAUAUAGCACGUAAUGACAAAUCACAGUCUAAAAGUGAACUCGAUGCCAUAAAAACACAACGAAUACUAGUAUUUUUGGAUUGACUUUUCCACAACUGGGUGCACGUCCCAAUGCCAUGUUUUCUGAGAAGCUACAAAAUGAAACUUCAGCACAGAUGUGUGUUUGGUGUGAUUCUACCAUGGAAACAGACAUGCAAUACAAAGCUUUAUAUUAUGAAUACAAAUUCAUAUCAAUAUCGCUCGCAUGUAAGACAUCAUCAAACUUUAAAUUAUGAUUGCAGUGUUCAUGAAGUUCCUUUUAGGGUCAAAUGAGGCAUCCCAUCUCAAAAUUCAUGGAACAAAUAAUAUUCAUGAUUCAUAUUCUUUUCGGGUCAUCGAGGCAUCCUAUAUUCCAUCUCAAUGUGGCAAUUUACAAUUUAGAAUUGCGUUCAGGGUCAUAAAAGCACACAAUGGAUCCAUCCAUUAUAUUACGAAUAAAAAUUCAUAACAAAAUCACAUUUAAGGCAUCAUACAACUUUUACAUUGUGAGUGAAGUAUUCGUAAUGUUUCCUUUAGUGUCAUCGAGGCAUCCACACACCUGCAACAUUUAUGGAACAUUUAAUAUCCAUUGAUUCAUUUAGGAUCAUCAAGGCAUCUAACAUUUCAUCUCGUAGUGGCAAUCGAUAGUCUAGAAUUGCAUUCAGGGUUAUAAAAGUACGACGAAUCCAUCCCUUAUAUUAUGAAUAAAGAUUGAUAUUAGGGUCAUCGAUUUUUACACUAUGAGUGAAGUGUUCAAAAUAUUUCCUUUAGGGUCAUUGAGGCAUCCAAACACUUGUAACAUUUAUGAAACAAAUCAUAUCCAUUAAUUUUUUUCGGGUCAUAGAUGCAUUAUGAAUGAAUAAAAAAAUUCAUAACAAUCUCACAUUUAAGGCAUCAUCCAACCUUUAUAGUAUGGGUAAAGUGUUCAUAAUGUUUGCUUCAGGGUCAUCUAGGCAUCUUGUCACACUUCUGAGAUAAAUAAUAUCCAUCAAUUCCUUUCGGGUCAUCGAGGCAUCAUUUCAAAACCCAGGCUCAAAUAUCAUAUGGGUCAUCGAGGCAUGCAAACACUUGCAAUAUUUAUGGGACAAAUAAUAUCGAUCAAUUCCUUUUGGGUCAUUGAGGCAUUAUAAUAAUUUCAAAACUCAGACUCAUAUAUCAUAUUUGAGUGACAAUUCAUAGUCUAGAAUUGCACUCAAGAUCAUAUAUAAUCACUGAGACAUCUCAACAUUUAGAAAAUAGUUUCCUUUAAAAUCACCGAGGCAUCCCAACAUUUACAAAAUUUAAUGGGACAAAUUAUGUCCAUCAAUUCUUUUCGGGACAUCAAGGCAUCAUAAUAAUUUCAAAACUCAGGCUCAUAUAUUUGAGUGACAAUUCAUAGUCUAGAAUUGCACUCAAGAUCGUAAAAUCACCAAGGCAUCCCAACAUUUACAAAAUUCAAUGGGACAAAUUAUAUCCGUCAAUUAUUUUCGGGUCAUCGAGGCAUCAUAAUAAUCUCAAAACUCAGGCUCAUAUAUCAUAUCUAAGUGACAAUUCUAGUCUAGAAUUGCACUCAAUAUCGUAAAAUCACCGAGGCAUCCAAACAUUUACAAAAUUUAAUGGAACAAAUAAUAUAUGUCAAUUCUUUUCAGGUCAUCGAUCAAGGCAUCGUAAUAAUUUCAAAACUCAGGCUCAUAUAUCAUAUCCGAGUGACAAUUCUAGUCUAGAAUUGCACUCAAGAUUGUAAAAUCACCGAGGCAUCCCAACAUUUACAAAAUUUAAUGGAACAAAUAAUAUCCGUCAAUUCUUUUCGGGUCAUCGAUCAAGGCAUCGUAAUAAUUUCAAAACUCAGGCUCAUAUAAAUUAUUUUCUUCCUUUUAAAUGUAUCUCAAUUUCUUUUAUAUACGUAAACUUUGAGAUGCCUAUACCAUAUUUUGCAUAAACUUAACAACUCUCAAUCAAAAUUAUGAAUCAGGAAAUAUGAAUAAUGAGAAUACCUCCAAAUUGCAAGAUUUUCAAAUUGUUGCAACAUAUAAGUAUAAAACGUUUUGAAUAUUAUCACUUAUGCCUUUGAAGAACUUUUGAAGAACCAAGAACUUCAUCAACUCCUUCGAUAGAGUCAUUCAAAUAUACCUCGACUCCAAAAGCUAAGAGUAUAAUUUAUUCCUCAAGACUAACACUAGAUGGCUAGUCACUUAAACUAUAAAGUCCCUCAUCCUAUGCUGACCGACUUGUAGGCUCAAAAAGCACAGUCUUAAAAUUUUAUUGAGUCAUAAAAGUGCAACAGGUACCAUCCCUUAUGUAAUGAAUAAAAAUCCACACCAAUAUCACAUUUAAGGCAUUAUCUAGCCUUCACAUUAUAAGUUAAGUGUGACUGAAGUUUCGAUAUAUCCCAACACUUACAAAAUUAAGUCUCAUAUUUCAUCUCUCAUACACAAAAUUUCUACAUAUUCAUUCCUUUAGGGUUGUCAAGGCACCCUAAACAUUUCAAAAUUUAGGCUCAUAUAUGAAGGGUUUGUCUACAUUUGUAUAAAGCAGAAGAUUGAAAGUUCUUGUGAAAAUAGUUAGCCUAACAACAUGCACCAAAUAUUAUAAAACCAAAAGGAUUUGUGGAAAUUUCAUUACCUUGACUAACAAACAAAUUGUCUUUCAAAACAUCAGUACCAAAAGGGUCUCCAUACAAAAACAAAGUUUGCUGAAUCAUUCUGGUACUACCAAUUCCACUAUUAAAAAAUUCAAGAAUUAAAACCUGAAAAGCAAGAGAGGUAUAAAUGUUACCAUUGAAGGUGAGACUGCAAAUUUUUUAAAUUGCAUGUUUUAAAGAAGAUGAAAGGACGGAACAAUGUGUUUCAUCUUAUUUAAACACAUCAUAACCUCUGAAGAGGAAUGCAGAGAAGUAAGAGAAGUAAUGAGGCAUCCCAUAUAGCACGCAAUGACAAAUCGCAGUCUAAAAGUGAACUCGAUGCCAUAAAAACACAACAAAUACUAGUAUGUUUGGAUUGACUUUUCCACAACUGGGUGCACGUCCCAAUGCCACGUUUUCUGAGAAGCUACAAAAUGAAACUUCAGCACAGAUGUGUGUUUGGUGUGAUUCUACCAUGAAAACAGACAUGCAAUACAAAGCUUUAUAUUAUGAAUACAAAUUCAUAUCAAUAUCGCUCGCAUGUAAGACAUCGUCAAACUUUAAAUUAUGAUUGCAGUGUUCAUGAUGUUCCUUUUAGGGUCAAAUGAGGCAUCCCAUCUCAAAAUUCAUGGAACAAAUAAUAUUCAUGAUUCAUAUUCUUUUCGAGUCAUCGAGGCAUCCUAUAUUCCAUCUCAAUGUGGAAAUUUACAAUUUAGAAUUGCAUUCAGGCUCGUAUAUCAUAUCUGAGCGACAAUUCUAGUCUAGAAUUGCACUCAAGAUCGUAAAAUCAACAGGGCAUCCCAACAUUUACAAAAUUCAAUGGAACAAAUUAUAUCCGUCAAUUCUUUUCGGGUCAUCGAGGCAUUAUAAUAAUUUCAAAACUCAGGCUCAUAUAUCAUAUCUGAGUGACAAUUAUAGUCUAGAAUUGCACUCAAGAUCGUAAAAUCACCGAGGCAUCCAAACAUUUACAAAAUUUAAUGGAAUAAAUAAUAUCCGUCAAUUCUUUUCGGGUCAUCGAUCAAAGCAUCGUAAUAAUUUCAAAACUCAGGCUCAUAUAUCAUAUCUGAGUGACAAUUUUAGUCAAGAAUUGCACUCAAGAUUGUAAAAUCACCGAGGCAUCCCAACAUUUACAAAAUGUAAUGGAACAAAUAAUAUCCGUCAAUUCUUUUUGGGUCAUCGAUCAAGGCAUCAUAAUAAUUUCAAAACUCAGGCUCGUAUAUCAUAUCCAAGUGACAAUUCUAGUCUAGAAUUGCACUCAAGAUUGUAAAAUCACCGAGGCAUCCCAACAUUUACAAAAUUUAAUGGAACAAAUAAUAUCAUUCUUUUCGGGUCAUGGAUCAAGGCAUCAUAAUAAUUUCAAAACUUAAGCUCAUAUAUCAUAUCUGAGAGACAAUUCUAGUCUAGAUUUGCACUCAAGAUUGUAAAAUCACCGAGGCAUCCCAACAUUUACAAAAUUUAAUGGAACAAAUAAUAUCCGUCAAUUAUUUUUGGGUCAUCGAUCAAGGCAUCAACAAUUGUAGUCUAGAAUUGCACUUAAGAUUGUAAAAUCACCGAGGCAUCCCAACAUUUACAAAUUUAAUGGAACAAAUAAUAUCCGUCAAUUCUUUUCGGGUCAUCGAUCAAGACAUUAUAAUAAUUUCAAAACUCAGACUCAGAUAUAAUAUAUGAGUGACAAUUCUAGUCUAGAAUUGCACUCAAGAUUGUAAAAUCACCUAGGCAUCAUUUACAAAAUUUAAGGAGCAAAAAGUAAUAUGCAUCGUUUCCAUCCAUUACCUAAGAUUGUAUCAUCCUUUUCAAAUUACCAAAAUUGAUUUCAACUCAAAGAGGCGAUCACAGUAAAGAAUUAAAUUCAUGUCAUAAAAGAUAUCAUCCAACUCUACAUUAUGAAUUUUUUUAAGUCAAGGAAACCUAACGGUUUCAACAUUUAGGCUCAAAUAUUGUGAAAAAGAAUGAUCUUGCAGAGUUUCACACGUUUAUGGGGUUUGUUAAAUUGUACAGGGCUGUUGUUGUUAAAGCAGAAAAUUGAAGGUUGUUGAAUAAGGAAGAAUAUAGGGUUUAUGAAUAUUCAAGAAUCAAAAUCUAAAAAUCAAGAUAAAGUUAGAAAUGUACCGUUGAAAAUGAAAGGGGGACAGAACAGAGCGUGUUUCGUCGCUUUCUUGAAGAAAAAAGAAUUCGGCAACGAUUCCUACGAAACCUUUGAAUCGGAACGGUAUUGAUUUUCAUGUUUCGAUUCUUUGAAUUAUUUUAGAUUUAACGCAGUGUUUUCCAUUUAUCGGCUUUUCUACUGGGCUUUUGAUUUUAAUGGCAUGUUGAGC